This is a non-coding RNA of Danio rerio (zebrafish), 557 nucleotides long. The record is from RefSeq and is a predicted model, not a curated record. Lineage: Eukaryota; Metazoa; Chordata; Actinopteri; Cypriniformes; Danionidae.
GAUUCAAAUUCAAGCGCCAACGGAACACAACACAUUCAGUGCUAGCUGCCUCAAGAGAUCCGACGAGACGGAGUUUCUUUCAAUAAAGUUAUGCUGCAGGUCACCACUGCACGUGAAUGCACAACUGAUGGAUCUCUCUGCAUGAACAAGGGUCAUUGGAAAACCACACAACUACAACGAAGAUGGGAAUUCUUGAAACAGUAAGCAGCAGCCACUUAAUAACAGCCCUGUCAACUGUGCUGAAUGUCUGCUGUCCUGGAAGAGGAGAUGGUGCUCGACAGCUUUAUGCUUUUGGAUUAUUGUAUCCAAAAGUUCCUCUUGAAGAUUUUUUUCAUUUGUGUCAACUGGGUUAAGUAAUCCAUUGUUAAGAUUUGAUGGUGUUUUUUAUGCUUUUUGGUGGGACACAAAAUGCUAGACUGGGACAGUGACAGAUUGUGGCCUAAACCCAGCCAUGGUCCAGAACCUCAACCAGAUCUAUUCAUUCUGCUGGGUUUCUCUGCAGGCAGGAGCGGAUCAGGCUGCAACACUUCUGCUCAUUUACAUCUAUUCUAAACUGU